RNAcentral lists this ribosomal RNA (1448 nucleotides) under Lactiplantibacillus plantarum. RNAcentral describes it as "bacterial SSU rRNA". It matches the Rfam family "Bacterial small subunit ribosomal RNA". Lineage: Bacteria; Bacillati; Bacillota; Bacilli; Lactobacillales; Lactobacillaceae. The record is from RNAcentral.
CCUAAUACAUGCAAGUCGAACGAACUCUGGUAUUGAUUGGUGCUUGCAUCAUGAUUUACAUUUGAGUGAGUGGCGAACUGGUGAGUAACACGUGGGAAACCUGCCCAGAAGCGGGGGAUAACACCUGGAAACAGAUGCUAAUACCGCAUAACAACUUGGACCGCAUGGUCCGAGCUUGAAAGAUGGCUUCGGCUAUCACUUUUGGAUGGUCCCGCGGCGUAUUAGCUAGAUGGUGGGGUAACGGCUCACCAUGGCAAUGAUACGUAGCCGACCUGAGAGGGUAAUCGGCCACAUUGGGACUGAGACACGGCCCAAACUCCUACGGGAGGCAGCAGUAGGGAAUCUUCCACAAUGGACGAAAGUCUGAUGGAGCAACGCCGCGUGAGUGAAGAAGGGUUUCGGCUCGUAAAACUCUGUUGUUAAAGAAGAACAUAUCUGAGAGUAACUGUUCAGGUAUUGACGGUAUUUAACCAGAAAGCCACGGCUAACUACGUGCCAGCAGCCGCGGUAAUACGUAGGUGGCAAGCGUUGUCCGGAUUUAUUGGGCGUAAAGCGAGCGCAGGCGGUUUUUUAAGUCUGAUGUGAAAGCCUUCGGCUCAACCGAAGAAGUGCAUCGGAAACUGGGAAACUUGAGUGCAGAAGAGGACAGUGGAACUCCAUGUGUAGCGGUGAAAUGCGUAGAUAUAUGGAAGAACACCAGUGGCGAAGGCGGCUGUCUGGUCUGUAACUGACGCUGAGGCUCGAAAGUAUGGGUAGCAAACAGGAUUAGAUACCCUGGUAGUCCAUACCGUAAACGAUGAAUGCUAAGUGUUGGAGGGUUUCCGCCCUUCAGUGCUGCAGCUAACGCAUUAAGCAUUCCGCCUGGGGAGUACGGCCGCAAGGCUGAAACUCAAAGGAAUUGACGGGGGCCCGCACAAGCGGUGGAGCAUGUGGUUUAAUUCGAAGCUACGCGAAGAACCUUACCAGGUCUUGACAUACUAUGCAAAUCUAAGAGAUUAGACGUUCCCUUCGGGGACAUGGAUACAGGUGGUGCAUGGUUGUCGUCAGCUCGUGUCGUGAGAUGUUGGGUUAAGUCCCGCAACGAGCGCAACCCUUAUUAUCAGUUGCCAGCAUUAAGUUGGGCACUCUGGUGAGACUGCCGGUGACAAACCGGAGGAAGGUGGGGAUGACGUCAAAUCAUCAUGCCCCUUAUGACCUGGGCUACACACGUGCUACAAUGGAUGGUACAACGAGUUGCGAACUCGCGAGAGUAAGCUAAUCUCUUAAAGCCAUUCUCAGUUCGGAUUGUAGGCUGCAACUCGCCUACAUGAAGUCGGAAUCGCUAGUAAUCGCGGAUCAGCAUGCCGCGGUGAAUACGUUCCCGGGCCUUGUACACACCGCCCGUCACACCAUGAGAGUUUGUAACACCCAAAGUCGGUGGGGUAACCUUUUAGGAACCAGCCGCAUAA